GUGUAGUGAUGCCAAACUGAGGUCUUGAAACACUUCGGUCAUUAUAGAUCCCAAGGUAUUUCUCGACAAGAUUUUGGAGUGUCCUAACCAAGUUUGCCUAUUGGCCUAGUCAGGUAUGGCGAUAUGGGCCUACUUGUAUUGACUGCAUCAGUUCUUCAAUGAUAUCUGUUCAUCCAGGUAGAAGAGAUUCUCACCGUAAAGUGUUUCGAGUGUGACAAAAGCGCUAUAUGAAUGUCUCAUUCUUCAGUUUGCCUGAUACACACUCCAAGCGACAUAAAUACACUUACAAAGAGUCAAAAUCAUUUGCAGUGAGAUAGAACAACCACCGCGAAUGCAGGCAAGUGAUGCACCGCUUCUCACUGUAUCCUAAUAUUAGAAAGUUCAGCAGCAUUCAGCAAGCCUACAGUGUUAGUUUGCACUAAGAGUGAAUCAUCCUCACCCUGAAGUGACACUAUGUGAUGACUAACUUGCCUGAGCUUAGUGAUUCAUGAAACAAGCAUCCCAUUCCUCUCUCUUUCCUCCCACCUCUUAUUCCUUUUCUUCAUCGUUUUAAUUCAGCCAUUUCCGCCCCUCUUUCUGUGACAUUCGGGCAACCUGGCAGACAGAAAGGGAACAUUGUACAUGUAAUUACAGACUCUGAAUAAGAGUAAUGUGUUAUUUUUUAUUACUAGAAGGAGGUUUUCUAUUUCCUGCAAAGCGCAGUGGGAUGCUGAGCUAAAUUAGUGAAAUUGUUUCUCUGUUGGUUAGAUGUCAAGGUUUCUGACCCCAAGCUAAUGUUUAAUUUACAUAUUCUUUUCAGAUAAAUUAGGCAGCAAGCUCUGAAUUAGCAGCUAUUGUGUCUUACCGUUUUAGAGAUUACUAUCCUGGUGUUUCUGCUUACCUGCAGCCCUGCCACUGAUCCAGCCGAGCUCGCCAAAGUCAAAUCUGGCUGUGAGAUACAACACGACGUCUGUAAUUGACCAGAGUGGAAGCCAUUUCCAGUAACAACUGUGGUGAUCUGAAAAUAGAGCUGUGGAUUGCUAAGACAGACUGUCACUGAAAACAAUGAACAUCUGAUUCCUCAUCGAUCGAGAAGAUUCUUGUUCUCAGGAUUUUUAAAGAAGGUGAUUCUCUGAAUUAUCAGCGUAGACUCAACAGCACAAUGGCACGUUCAGACACAUACAAAACAGCUCAGAUGCUGUGAGUGGGGAUUUACUUGGAAAAAGGACGCAACGAUGGAGAGAGAAAGAAAAUAAGCUUCUCAUCUGACUGUCAAAAUGUGCUUAAAAAGUUCAAAGGAGGUCCAAGGAUCUCAAGUGAAGAGCGACAGCGUUGUUAUGAGGGAAAUGUGCUCCAGUUCAAAUGCAUUAUUGAACACUGGCCUUUGCUUUCGCUCGCUAUUUUUGGUUUCCAAUAAAG
Molecule: long non-coding RNA, 1398 nt
Organism: Labeo rohita (rohu)
Lineage: Eukaryota; Metazoa; Chordata; Actinopteri; Cypriniformes; Cyprinidae
Exons: 3
Source: RefSeq, a predicted model, not a curated record